RNAcentral lists this ribosomal RNA (433 nucleotides) under uncultured bacterium. RNAcentral's name for it is "partial 16S ribosomal RNA". It matches the Rfam family "Bacterial small subunit ribosomal RNA", at positions 29 to 507 of the family's 1533-position model. The record is from RNAcentral.
AACGAACGCUGGCGGCAUGCCUAACACAUGCAAGUCGAACGAGACCUUCGGGUCUAGUGGCGCACGGGUGCGUAACGCGUGGGAACCUGCCCUUAGGUUCGGAAUAACUCCCCGAAAGGGGUGCUAAUACCGGAUAAUGUCUUCGGACCAAAGAUUUAUCGCCUUUGGAUGGGCCCGCGUUGGAUUAGCUAGUUGGUAGGGUAAAAGCCUACCAAGGCGACGAUCCAUAGCUGGUCUGAGAGGAUGAUCAGCCACACUGGGACUAGGACACGGCCCAGACUCCUACGCGAUGGGGCAGUGGGUAAUAGAGGACAAUGGGCGGAAGGCUGAACCAGCAAUGCCGGGUGAAUGAUGAAAGCCUUAGGGUUGUAAAGCUCUUUUAACCGGGAUGAUAAUGACGGUACCGGGAGAAUAAGCUCCGGCUAACUCCGUG